RNAcentral lists this ribosomal RNA (484 nucleotides) under uncultured bacterium. RNAcentral describes it as "partial 16S ribosomal RNA". It matches the Rfam family "Bacterial small subunit ribosomal RNA", at positions 30 to 507 of the family's 1533-position model. The record is from RNAcentral.
AUUGAACGCUGGCGGCAGGCCUAACACAUGCAAGUCGAGCGGAUGAAGGGAGCUUGCUCCUGGAUUCAGCGGCGGACGGGUGAGUAAUGCCUAGGAAUCUGCCUGGUAGUGGGGGAUAACGUCCGGAAACGGGCGCUAAUACCGCAUACGUCCUGAGGGAGAAAGUGGGGGAUCUUCGGACCUCACGCUAUCAGAUGAGCCUAGGUCGGAUUAGCUAGUUGGUGGGGUAAAGGCCUACCAAGGCGACGAUCCGUAACUGGUCUGAGAGGAUGAUCAGUCACACUGGAACUGAGACACGGUCCAGACUCCUGAGGGAGGCAGCAGUGGGGAAUAUUGGACAAUGGGCGAAAGCCUGAUCCAGCCAUGCCGCGUGUGUGAAGAAGGUCUUCGGAUUGUAAAGCACUUUAAGUUGGGAGGAAGGGCAGUAAGUUAAUACCUUGCUGUUUUGACGUUACCAACAGAAUAAGCACCGGCUAACUUCGUG